AUUCCUACGGGAGGCAGCAGUGGGGAAUAUUGCACAAUGGGCGAAAGCCUGAUGCAGCAACGCCGCGUGAGCGAUGAAGGCCUUCGGGUCGUAAAGCUCUGUCCUCAAGGAAGAUAAUGACGGUACUUGAGGAGGAAGCCCCGGCUAACUACGUGCCAGCAGCCGCGGUAAUACGUAGGGGGCUAGCGUUAUCCGGAAUUACUGGGCGUAAAGGGUGCGUAGGUGGUUUUUUAAGUCAGAAGUGAAAGGCUACGGCUCAACCGUAGUAAGCUUUUGAAACUGAGAAACUUGAGUGCAGGAGAGGAGAGUAGAAUUCCUAGUGUAGCGGUGAAAUGCGUAGAUAUUAGGAGGAAUACCAGUUGCGAAGGCGGCUCUCUGGACUGUAACUGACACUGAGGCACGAAAGCGUGGGGAGCAAACAGGAUUAGAUACCCUGGUAGUCCACGCCGUAAACGAUGAGUACUAGGUGUCGGGGGUUACCCCCCUCGGUGCCGCAGCUAACGCAUUAAGUACUCCGCCUGGGAAGUACGCUCGCAAGAGUGAAACUCAAAGGAAUUGACGGAAU
RNAcentral lists this ribosomal RNA (565 nucleotides) under uncultured bacterium. RNAcentral describes it as "bacterial SSU rRNA". It matches the Rfam family "Bacterial small subunit ribosomal RNA", at positions 335 to 919 of the family's 1533-position model. The record is from RNAcentral.